RNAcentral lists this microRNA (22 nucleotides) under Eptatretus burgeri (inshore hagfish). RNAcentral's name for it is "Ebu-Mir-22-P1o1_3p (mature (guide))". The record is from RNAcentral. Lineage: Eukaryota; Metazoa; Chordata; Myxini; Myxiniformes; Myxinidae.
AAGCUGCCAGUCGAAGAGCUGU